Molecule: ribosomal RNA, 253 nt
Filed under: uncultured bacterium
Lineage: Bacteria
Description: partial 16S ribosomal RNA
Rfam family: Bacterial small subunit ribosomal RNA
Source: RNAcentral
UACGUAGGGGGCAAGCGUUGUCCGGAUUUACUGGGCGUAAAGAGCUCGUAGGCGGUUUGUCGCGUCGGCUGUGAAAACUCGGGGCUCAACCCCGAGCCUGCAGUCGAUACGGGCAGGCUAGAGUUCGGCAGGGGAGACUGGAAUUCCUGGUGUAGCGGUGAAAUGCGCAGAUAUCAGGAGGAACACCAAUAGCGAAGGCAGCUCGCUGGGACGGUACUGACGCUAAGGCGCGAAAGCGUGGGGAGCGAACAGG